Molecule: ribosomal RNA, 419 nt
Filed under: bacterium
Lineage: Bacteria
Description: partial 16S ribosomal RNA
Rfam family: Bacterial small subunit ribosomal RNA
Source: RNAcentral
UGGGGGAUAUUGCACAAUGGGCGAAAGCCUGAUGCAGCGACGCCGCGUGGGGGAUGAAGGCCUUCGGGUUGUAAACUUCUUUUGCUCUGAACAAGGCGCACCAUGGGGUGUGUUGAGUGUAGGGGUUGAUUAGCGCCGGCUAACUACGUGCCAGCAGCCGCGGUAAUACGUAGGGCGCGAGCGUUGUCCGGAAUUAUUGGGCGUAAAGGGCUUGUAGGUGGCUGGUUGCGUCUGUCGUGAAAGCUCAUGGCUUAACUGUGGGUUUGCGGUGGGUACGGGCUGGCUUGAGUGCGGUAGGGGAGGCUGGAAUUCCUGGUGUAGCGGUGGAAUGCGCAGAUAUCAGGAGGAAUACCGGUGGCGAAGGCGGGUCUCUGGGCUGUUACUGACACUGAGGAGCGAAAGCAUGGGGAGCGAACAGG